GACGAACGCUGGCGGCGUGCCUAAUACAUGCAAGUCGAGCGGAGUUUCAAGAAGCUUGCUUUUUGAAACUUAGCGGCGGACGGGUGAGUAACACGUGGGCAACCUGCCCCUUAGACUGGGAUAACUCCGGGAAACCGGAGCUAAUACCGGAUAAUCCCUUUCUCCACCUGGAGAGAGGGUGAAAGAUGGCUUCGGCUAUCACUAGGGGAUGGGCCCGCGGCGCAUUAGCUAGUUGGUAAGGUAACGGCUUACCAAGGCGACGAUGCGUAGCCGACCUGAGAGGGUGAUCGGCCACACUGGGACUGAGACACGGCCCAGACUCCUACGGGAGGCAGCAGUAGGGAACUUCCGCAAGGACGAAAGUCUGACGGAGCAACGCCGCGUGAGUGAGGAAGGCCUUCGGGUCGUAAAGCUCUGUUGUGAGGGAAGAAGCGGUACCGUUCGAAUAGGGCGGUACCUUGACGG
This 465-nucleotide ribosomal RNA is filed under the name Shouchella clausii. Its description in RNAcentral is "bacterial SSU rRNA". It matches the Rfam family "Bacterial small subunit ribosomal RNA", at positions 28 to 475 of the family's 1533-position model. Lineage: Bacteria; Bacillati; Bacillota; Bacilli; Caryophanales; Bacillaceae. The record is from RNAcentral.